RNAcentral lists this ribosomal RNA (500 nucleotides) under uncultured bacterium. RNAcentral's name for it is "bacterial SSU rRNA". It matches the Rfam family "Bacterial small subunit ribosomal RNA", at positions 774 to 1268 of the family's 1533-position model. The record is from RNAcentral.
AGUAAAUAGAUACCCCGGUAGUCCAUGCUGUAAACGGUGUGAACUUGACGUGGGUGGAUUUAACCCCUUCCGUGUCGAAAGCUAAACGCGAUAGGUUCACCGCCUGGGGACUACGGCCGCAAGGCUAAAACUCAAAGAAAUUGACGGGGGCCCGCACAAGCGGUGGAGCAUGUGGCUCAAUUCGAUGCAACGCGAAGAACCUUACCUGGAUUUGACAUAUACUUGACAGCUGUGGAAACACAGUCUUUCGCAAGAACAGGUAUACAGGUGCUGCAUGGCUGUCGUCAGCUCGUGCCGUGAGGUGUUCGGUUAAGUCCGGCAACGAGCGCAACCCGUGUCGUCAGUUACUAACAGGUAAAGCUGAGAACUCUGGCGAGACUGCCCGUUACUAAGCGGGAGGAAGGAGCGGAUGACGUCAAGUCCGUAUGGCCUUUAUAUCCAGGGCUGCACACGUGCUACAAUGGUCGGUAUAAUGGGAUGCAAGACCGCGAGGUUGGAGC